This 234-nucleotide unclassified non-coding RNA is filed under the name plant metagenome. RNAcentral's name for it is "partial contains small subunit ribosomal RNA, internal transcribed spacer 1, and 5.8S ribosomal RNA". The record is from RNAcentral.
UUUCCGUAGGUGAACCUGCGGAAGGAUCAUUAAAGUUAUAGUCCCCCGGCCCUCUGAGCUGGGGUCUUCUAUACCACCCUUUGUUUAUUACACCUUUGUUGCUUUGGCAGGCCUGCCCUCGGGCUGCUGGCUCCGGCCGGCUCGCGUCUGCCAGAGGACCUAAACUCUGUUUGUAUAUGAAGUCUGAGUACUAUAUAAUAGUUAAAACUUUCGACAACGGAUCUCUUGGUUCUG